This 495-nucleotide ribosomal RNA is filed under the name uncultured bacterium. Its description in RNAcentral is "partial 16S ribosomal RNA". It matches the Rfam family "Bacterial small subunit ribosomal RNA", at positions 28 to 507 of the family's 1533-position model. The record is from RNAcentral.
GACGAACGCUGGCGGCGUGCCUAAUACAUGCAAGUAGAACGCUGAAGGAGGAGCUUGCUUCUCUGGAUGAGUUGCGAACGGGUGAGUAACGCGUAGGUAACCUGCCUUGUAGCGGGGGAUAACUAUUGGAAACGAUAGCUAAUACCGCAUAAGAGUAGAUGUCGCAUGACAUUUGCUUAAAAGGUGCAAUUGCAUCACUACCAGAUGGACCUGCGUUGUAUUAGCUAGUUGGUGAGGUAACGGCUCACCAAGGCAACGAUACAUAGCCGACCUGCGAGGGGGAUCGGCCACACUGGGACGGAGACACGGCCCAGACUCCUACAGGAGGCAGCAGUAGGGAAUCUUCGGCAAGGGACGGAAGACUGAGCGAGCAACGCCGCGUGAGUGAAGAAGGUUUUCGGAUCGUAAAGCUCUGUUGUAAGAGAAGAACGAGUGUGAGAGUGGAACGUUCACACUGUGACGGUAACUGACCAGAAAGGGACGGCUAACUACGUG